GACGAACGCUGGCGGCGUGCUUAACACAUGCAAGUCGAACGGAAAGGCCCUGCUUUUGUGGGGUGCUCGAGUGGCGAACGGGUGAGUAACACGUGAGUAACCUGCCCUUGACUUUGGGAUAGCUUCAGGAAACUGGGGCUAAUACCGGAUAGGAGCUCCUGCUGCAUGGUGGGGGUUGGAAAGUUUCGGCGGUUGGGGAUGGACUCGCGGCUUAUCAGCUUGUUGGUGGGGUAGUGGCUUACCAAGGCUUUGACGGGUAGCCGGCCUGAGAGGGUGACCGGCCACAUUGGGACUGAGAUACGGCCCAGACUCCUACGGGAGGCAGCAGUGGGGAAUAUUGCACAAUGGGCGGAAGCCUGAUGCAGCAACGCCGCGUGCGGGAUGACGGCCUUCGGGUUGUAAACCGCUUUCGCCUGUGACGAAGCGUGAGUGACGGUAAUGGGUAAAGAAGCACCGGCUAACUACGUGCCAGCAGCCGCGGUGAUACGUAGGGUGCGAGCGUUGUCCGGAUUUAUUGGGCGUAAAGGGCUCGUAGGUGGUUGAUCGCGUCGGAGGUGUAAUCUUGGGGCUUAACCCUGAGCGUGCUUUCGAUACGGGUUGACUUGAGGAAGGUAGGGGAGAAUGGAAUUCCUGGUGGAGCGGUGGAAUGCGCAGAUAUCAGGAGGAACACCAGUGGCGAAGGCGGUUCUCUGGGCCUUUCCUGACGCUGAGGAGCGAAAGCGUGGGGAGCGAACAGGCUUAGAUACCCUGGUAGUCCACGCUGUAAACGGUGGGUACUAGGUGUGGGGUCCAUUCCACGGGUUCCGUGCCGUAGCUAACGCUUUAAGUACCCCGCCUGGGGAGUACGGCCGCAAGGCUAAAACUCAAAGGAAUUGACGGGGCCCCGCACAAGCGGCGGAGCAUGCGGAUUAAUUCGAUGCAACGCGUAGAACCUUACCUGGGUUUGACAUGGAUCGGGAGUGCUCAGAGAUGGGUGUGCCUCUUUUGGGGUCGGUUCACAGGUGGUGCAUGGCUGUCGUCAGCUCGUGUCGUGAGAUGUUGGGUUAAGUCCCGCAACGAGCGCAACCCUUGUUCACUGUUGCCAGCACGUUAUGGUGGGGACUCAGUGGAGACCGCCGGGGUCAACUCGGAGGAAGGUGGGGAUGACGUCAAGUCAUCAUGCCCCUUAUGUCCAGGGCUUCACGCAUGCUACAAUGGCUGGUACAGAGAGUGGCGAGCCUGUGAGGGUGAGCGAAUCUCGGAAAGCCGGUCUCAGUUCGGAUUGGGGUCUGCAACUCGACCUCAUGAAGUCGGAGUCGCUAGUAAUCGCAGAUCAGCAACGCUGCGGUGAAUACGUUCCCGGG
Molecule: ribosomal RNA, 1343 nt
Filed under: uncultured bacterium
Lineage: Bacteria
Description: 16S ribosomal RNA
Rfam family: Bacterial small subunit ribosomal RNA
Source: RNAcentral